GACGAACGUUGGCGGCGCGCCUAAUACAUGCAAGUCGAACGCAUUUUCUUUCACCGUAGCUUGCUACACCGAAAGAAAAUGAGUGGCGAACGGGUGAGUAACACGUGGGUAACCUGCCCAUCAGCGGGGGAUAACACUUGGAAACAGGUGCUAAUACCGCAUAAUUCCAUUUACUGCAUGGUAGAUGGAUGAAAGGCGCUUUUGCGUCACUGAUGGAUGGACCCGCGGUGCAUUAGCUAGUUGGUGGGGUAACGGCCUACCAAGGCUGCGAUGCAUAGCCGACCUGAGAGGGUGAUCGGCCACACUGGGACUGAGACACGGCCCAGACUCCUACGGGAGGCAGCAGUAGGGAAUCUUCGGCAAUGGACGCAAGUCUGACCGAGCAACGCCGCGUGAGUGAAGAAGGUUUUCGGAUCGUAAAACUCUGUUGUUAGAAAAGAACAAGGAUGAGAGUGGAAAGUUCAUCCCUUGACGGUAUCUAACCAGAAAGCCACGGCUAACUACGUG
This 507-nucleotide ribosomal RNA is filed under the name uncultured bacterium. Its description in RNAcentral is "partial 16S ribosomal RNA". It matches the Rfam family "Bacterial small subunit ribosomal RNA", at positions 28 to 507 of the family's 1533-position model. The record is from RNAcentral.